AACUGUCAACAACGGAUCGCUUGGCUCUCGCAUCGAUGAAGAACGCUGCGAAAUGCGAUAAGUAAUGUGAAUUGCAGAAUUCAGUGACUCAUCGAAUCUUUGAACGCACCUUGCGCCCUUUGGCUAUUCCGAAGGGCAUGCCUGUUUGAGUAUCAUGAACACCUCAACUCUCAUGGCUUGCCAUGAUGGGCUUGGUCUUUGGGGGUCUUGCUGGCCUGUGGGUCAGCUCCUCUAAAAUGAAUUAGCUUGCCGGUGUUUGGUGGCAUCACAGGUGUGAUAACUAUCUACGCUUGUGGUUUUCCACCAGGUAACCUUCAGCAAUGGAGGUUCGCUGGAGCUCAUAAAUGUCGCUCCUCGGUGAGGACAGAUCUUGACCGUUUGAUCUCAAAUCAGGUAGGACUACCCGCUGAACUUAAGCAUAUCAAUAAGCGGAGGCU
Molecule: unclassified non-coding RNA, 437 nt
Filed under: uncultured Thelephoraceae
Lineage: Eukaryota; Fungi; Basidiomycota; Agaricomycetes; Thelephorales; Thelephoraceae
Description: sequence contains ITS2
Rfam family: 5.8S ribosomal RNA (bases 1-155)
Source: RNAcentral